GCUUGUAAAUGGUUAUGAAAUAUGUGGUGUUGAUCUCUUAAUUAUGCCUCUUGAAAGUAGAAGGUUUAUGGUAUAAUGGGAUGUGUAUGAAUGGUUAUUUGGAAGGUUUGCUAUAUGUUUAAGGUGUGAACUUGUAGCAUUGUAAGUAAAUUGAUUUGGUGUAUGAAUUAUGGUGCCAAGUGAUGGCAUAUUGGUUAGGCACAUAGGUUGGUUGGUUUUGGC
This 222-nucleotide long non-coding RNA is filed under the name Gossypium raimondii (Peruvian cotton). Its description in RNAcentral is "long non-coding RNA (GRAI_LNC000828)". The record is from RNAcentral. Lineage: Eukaryota; Viridiplantae; Streptophyta; Magnoliopsida; Malvales; Malvaceae.